Long non-coding RNA from Capsicum annuum, 908 nucleotides. RefSeq lists it as uncharacterized. Lineage: Eukaryota; Viridiplantae; Streptophyta; Magnoliopsida; Solanales; Solanaceae. The record is from RefSeq and is a predicted model, not a curated record. The transcript is spliced from 2 exons.
CUGCUUAGUUAAAAAUUCUUGGAUUUUUUUCCUUGCUCUUUGUCUGGAAUAAACGAUUUUAGGUGAAAUUAAUUGAACAUGUGCAUAGCGUGAAAUGGAAAGAAAAAUGGAGAAAGGACUUAAACCACUUUAUAGUGAAAGGUAUUAUAUUUAUCUUUAACACGUAUUUCUAGUUAAAAUCCAAAUCUAUGACGAUGCCCAUUAACAUACGUCCCUUUGAGAGAUUAAAAGUGAAGGGGAUGCUCUACUAAUUAAAAGGCAACAUCCGGACUUAUCCUCCUCUUUUUAUUUCUUGCUUAUAAUUUAUUAAACUUGGUACCUAAUUAUAUAACUUACUUAAAGAUAAAGUUGUAAAUUGGGUCAGGCAUAGGAAUAUGAGGGGGAGAGGUCGCCUAUAAAUUCAUUGCCUAUCGUGAAGCAUAACAAUUGCAGCAAUAACAUUACGUAAUUUUUCAUAUAUCUCUUUCUCCAUUUUAGUAAAAGUAUAGUCAUGUAUUGCAAUUAUGCUUUCUAUUUCACUGUUGCACUUAUGCUGAUAUCUGAAUUUAGUUUAUUUUGGCUCACUCUCCAUAUUUGAAGGUAAUUUUUGCGAGAGACUUAUCGGAGAGUAUGAAAGAACUGAAAUCAAAGAUAAAUGGUUAUAACUUGAUGGGUGGGUGAUGGAUAUUGUAGACGGAGCGAUGAUUGCUUUGAUAGGACGUGUCCUCGUUGUUACUACGAUGUCAUUAAACUUACCUACGGCUGCCGCCAGUAAAAGUUGGAUUAUUGAUGGACAACACAAUAUAAAUUUUGUUGCUUUUAAGUUCCAAGUAUAAGAUGAUGUUUGUGUGGGUUAAUGUCUUUGCAUUUGUGUUCUGCUCUUCUUCUUUCAGCUUCUUGUGUGUGUUUUUUUUUUUUUUUUUUUUUUU